Lycium barbarum (goji berry) is the source of this 1553-nucleotide long non-coding RNA. RefSeq lists it as uncharacterized. Lineage: Eukaryota; Viridiplantae; Streptophyta; Magnoliopsida; Solanales; Solanaceae. The record is from RefSeq and is a predicted model, not a curated record. The transcript has 2 exons.
CAUAAAUAGAGGUAAAGUAGUCAAAUACCCCUCCUAAUCAAUGUUUUUUAAGAGACGUGUAAAAUAAAAAAACGACAAAUAAUUUGAGAGAUAUGGAGCAAAGUAACAAGAACAUGGGCCGCUCCAUGGCCGACGCCUCAAAUUAAACGACCCGUUAAAUGCACAAUGAAUACAACUAUCCGCUGGCACGUCGUUUCGCUUACCCAAUGUGUUCACUGUACAGAAAUAAUUUGAUCUUUUCCAAUUCCCAUGUAAAUAAAUGACGAUAAGUUGUAUGUUGCAUCUAGAAAUCUAUAAGUUGUACCAACAAGCAAGUGGGUUAUUCAUUUCUUUAAUCUUUAACAAUUAAUAAUUUUAAGUUACUGCUUAUCGUUAAUAUUUUUUGUUGAUCCCCAUGGCCAACUCCAGAGCUACUAGACACCAAGAGUUAGAGGGGAGUAGAACCAGACUCUCUAGAAUUACAUGGGCAUUCUGUUUUGAGAUUGCAUGUGCGUGAAGCUCACAGAGCAACAGGCAAUAGAGACACUUGUUCCUUUAUAGCCAGUUUACUCACUCUGGUGAACCCUGAUUUUAAAGAUGUGCUGACCAACAGGUUAGCUGAACUAGGCAUUAGAGUAAUCCACACCGUGAAAUUACCGUCCCAAGCCAAGGAGCGCUUGAUUGACUAUCAUGUUGAGGGUAAUUCUACUUAUAACAAGAUCUUGGUUAUCUUUGGCUACACCAUACUGUUACUCCUCCAGAAUGUAACCCGAGUUAACUAUAUGACAACUUCAUGACCAAAAGGAUCAAGGCAUUGCGUGCUAAAGUUGGAUGGUUUCCAAAUGGAGAUCAGAUGUUGGUACCUUACUCUUUCGCAAAGGCAGAGGCUAUUCGGUCAAUGUUAGGCGCUUCAAUGCCUCUUAAAAGAGGCAGUGAUUGAUUUUGUGAUUUUAGCAUCAACGUGUUCUGACUCGUUGGGUUCUCUAGGCUUUGGAUUCUUAGCAUGGUCCGAAAUGUAUGUUUACAAAGUCAUGUAUGAGACAUUGAUCUUGACAGGAUCUCCUAUUCUGGAAGACCCCAGGGUUCAACAUGAGGCCCUUAAUCUUUAUGAUACUCAUAACGCGGUUAGUGAGUCAGAUUAUCCACAAUUCUUUCGUUACAUUGGAGGAAGUAGUGCACAGACAAAACUAUUGAGGAGUUUCUAUUUGCUGUGGCUCAAAAUCUGACGCCCUAUAGACAAAAUUCUAACUUUGUCACUAGUAAUUUGUCUGAACAGGACUAUUAGCUUAUGAGGGACUUAAUUGAGAUUCACAACAGGGAAAUGUCUAGGCUGGGACGUACUAUGCCUCUUUCGGGACUGAUCAAUGCUCUCACUGCUGACAUUGAAAUUGAUUUUGAUUGAUAUAAACGGUGUUCGUCAAUUUGGUGGUGCUCAUCAUAUGGCCGGCUAGCUCUUUAGUUCUAAGAUAGUGAUUCUAGUAAUCUAGUAUUUUAGUCGCUUUUGUUGGUUGCCUAUGAUGAUCUUUUUUGUUUUUCGGUUAUGUUUUAAACAACCGCAGAAAAAUUGAAAAUGA